CCUACGGGUGGCAGCAGUGGGGAAUAUUGGACAAUGGGCGAAAGCCUGAUCCAGCCAUGCCGCGUGUGUGAAGAAGGCCUUCGGGUUGUAAAGCACUUUCAGUGGGGAAGAAAGCCUUGGGGCUAAUACCCUCGAGGAAGGACAUCACCCACAGAAGAAGCACCGGCUAACUCCGUGCCAGCAGCCGCGGUAAUACGGAGGGUGCGAGCGUUAAUCGGAAUUACUGGGCGUAAAGCGCGCGUAGGCGGUCUGAUAAGCCGGUUGUGAAAGCCCCGGGCUCAACCUGGGAACGGCAUCCGGAACUGUCAGGCUAGAGUGCAGGAGAGGAAGGUAGAAUUCCCGGUGUAGCGGUGAAAUGCGUAGAGAUCGGGAGGAAUACCAGUGGCGAAGGCGGCCUUCUGGACUGACACUGACGCUGAGGUGCGAAAGCGUGGGUAGCAAACAGGAUAGAUACCCCUGUAGUC
Molecule: ribosomal RNA, 464 nt
Filed under: Vreelandella stevensii
Lineage: Bacteria; Pseudomonadati; Pseudomonadota; Gammaproteobacteria; Oceanospirillales; Halomonadaceae
Description: partial 16S ribosomal RNA
Rfam family: Bacterial small subunit ribosomal RNA
Source: RNAcentral